This is a regulatory RNA element of Pan troglodytes (chimpanzee), 49 nucleotides long. Lineage: Eukaryota; Metazoa; Chordata; Mammalia; Primates; Hominidae. The record is from Rfam.
GGGAAAUGGAGAGAGGGGCCAGCCCCUGGCCCCGAUUCAAAAUGGGGCA